GGCUGGCCUGAGAGCAGUGCUGUUUACAGCUAAUUGAUUAUAACCAGUUAAGGAUUUCUUCCUUCUUCACUCCCACUGCUUCACUUGAUUAGCCUUAA
Callithrix jacchus (white-tufted-ear marmoset) is the source of this 98-nucleotide Y RNA. It matches the Rfam family "Y RNA". From Rfam's summary of the family: Y RNAs are components of the Ro ribonucleoprotein particle (Ro RNP), in association with Ro60 and La proteins. The Y RNAs and Ro60 and La proteins are well conserved, but the function of the Ro RNP is not known. In humans the RNA component can be one of four small RNAs -- hY1, hY3, hY4 and hY5. Lineage: Eukaryota; Metazoa; Chordata; Mammalia; Primates; Cebidae. The record is from Ensembl.